UUCCGAUUGAUCCUGCCGGACCCGACUGCUAUCAGAAUGAGAUUAAGCCAUGCGAGUCAACGUAGCAAUACGUGGCACACGGCUCAGUAACACGUAGUCAACAUAACCAGAGGACGUGGAUAACCUCGGGAAACUGAGGAUAAACCGCGAUAGGCCAAGGUUUCUGGAAUGAGCCCUGGCCGAAAUCUAUAUGGCCUUUGGAUUGGACUGCGGCCGAUCAGGCUGUAGGUGAGGUAAUGGCCCACCAAACCUGUAGCCGGUACGGGCUUUGAGAGAAGGAGCCCGGAGAUGGGCACUGAGACAAGGGCCCAGGCCCUAUGGGGCGCAGCAGGCGCGAAACCUCUGCAAUAGGCGAAAGCCUGACAGGGUUACUCUGAGUGAUGCCCGCUAAGGGUAUCUUUUGGCACCUCUAAAAAUGGUGCAGAAUAAGGGGUGGGCAAGUCUGGUGUCAGCCGCCGCGGUAAUACCAGCACCCCGAGUUGUCGGGACGAUUAUUGGGCCUAAAGCAUCCGUAGCCUGUUCUGCAAGUCCUCCGUUAAAUCCACCUGCUCAACGGAUGGGCUGCGGAGGAUACCGCAGAGCUAGGAGGCGGGAGAGGCAAACGGUACUCAGUGGGUAGGGGUAAAAUCCAUUGAUCUACUGAAGACCACCAGUGGCGAGGGCGGUUUGCCAGAACGCGCUCAACGGUGAGGGAUGAAAGCUGGGGGAGCAAACCGGAUUAGAUACCCGGGUAGUCCCAGCUGUAAACGAUGCAGACUCGGUGAUGGGUUGGCCUCGAGCCAACCCAGUGCCGCAGGGAAGCCGUUAAGUCUGCCGCCUGGGGAGUACGGUCGCGAGACUGAAACUUAAAGGAAUUGGCGGGGGAGCACCACAAGGGGUGAAGCCUGCGGUUCAAUUGGAGUCAACGCCCGGGA
RNAcentral lists this ribosomal RNA (914 nucleotides) under unidentified archaeon. RNAcentral's name for it is "bacterial SSU rRNA". It matches the Rfam family "Archaeal small subunit ribosomal RNA", at positions 1 to 924 of the family's 1478-position model. The record is from RNAcentral.